AAUGAGAAUGCUUCUCUCGAGGGUUUCUCCCGCUCAUCCCUACCCCCAAAAAACUUCCUUCUGCCUAUUUGGCCUCUCCUUCGUCGUCGUUACCUAUAUCCUCAUGUGGAAGGUCAUUCUACCUUUAAGGGGUAACAUUCUGAAAAUUGAAAGGAGGGAUGAAGCUACAAUGUACAAAAUGAAGUAAUUCAAAAUAUAAUUCUUGGUCUUGGCCUUAAAAUGAGUAUGACUCCGAGAAUGCAUAAAGACCAAGUUUGAAAAAAACAAAUAAUAAAGUUGUGAGGACGAAGUGCUAAUAUCUGUUGAAAGCUCUUGGGAUAUCAUAGACUUUGAUAGUUGUAUUUUUUGUUUUUAUCUUAUUUGGUAAUGUAUUUGUAUAAUGAAGCAUGACAACUAAUAGCAUAAGAGUUAUAUUGGUAUAGUUUUAUACAAUACACAAUUAUUUGUUGGGACUUUCAAUUGUAAUAAAAUUAUAUGAAUUGAAAAUUCAAUGGAAAGUGUUUUUUUAUUAUAUUA
Long non-coding RNA from Arachis duranensis, 516 nucleotides. RefSeq lists it as uncharacterized. The record is from RefSeq and is a predicted model, not a curated record. Lineage: Eukaryota; Viridiplantae; Streptophyta; Magnoliopsida; Fabales; Fabaceae. The transcript has 3 exons.